GUGGGGAAUAUUGGACAAUGGGCGAAAGCCUGAUCCAGCCAUGCCGCGUGUGUGAAGAAGGUCUUCGGAUUGUAAAGCACUUUAAGUUGGGAGGAAGGGCAGUAAGUUAAUACCUUGCUGUUUUGACGUUACCGACAGAAUAAGCACCGGCUAACUUCGUGCCAGCAGCCGCGGUAAUACGAAGGGUACAAGCGUUAAUCGGAAUUACUGGGCGUAAAGCGCGCGUAGGUGGUUUUGUAAGUUGGAGGUGAAAUCUCCGGGCUCAACAUGGGAACUGCCUCCAAAAAUGCAUGACUAGAGUACGGUAGAGGGUAGUGGAAUUUCCUGUGUAGCGGUGAAAUGCGUAGAUAUAGGAAGGAACACCAGUGGCGAAGGCGACUACCUGGACUGAUACUGACACUGAGGUGCGAAAGCGUGGGGAGCAAACAGGAUUAGAUACCCCUGUAGUCC
RNAcentral lists this ribosomal RNA (450 nucleotides) under uncultured bacterium. RNAcentral's name for it is "partial 16S ribosomal RNA". It matches the Rfam family "Bacterial small subunit ribosomal RNA", at positions 354 to 796 of the family's 1533-position model. The record is from RNAcentral.